Molecule: ribosomal RNA, 560 nt
Filed under: Burkholderia sp.
Lineage: Bacteria; Pseudomonadati; Pseudomonadota; Betaproteobacteria; Burkholderiales; Burkholderiaceae
Description: bacterial SSU rRNA
Rfam family: Bacterial small subunit ribosomal RNA
Source: RNAcentral
UGCAGUCGAACGGCAGCACGGGUGCUUGCACCUGGUGGCGAGUGGCGAACGGGUGAGUAAUACAUCGGAACAUGUCCUGUAGUGGGGGAUAGCCCGGCGAAAGCCGGAUUAAUACCGCAUACGAUCUACGGAUGAAAGCGGGGGACCUUCGGGCCUCGCGCUAUAGGGUUGGCCGAUGGCUGAUUAGCUAGUUGGUGGGGUAAAGGCCUACCAAGGCGACGAUCAGUAGCUGGUCUGAGAGGACGACCAGCCACACUGGGACUGAGACACGGCCCAGACUCCUACGGGAGGCAGCAGUGGGGAAUUUUGGACAAUGGGCGAAAGCCUGAUCCAGCAAUGCCGCGUGUGUGAAGAAGGCCUUCGGGUUGUAAAGCACUUUUGUCCGGAAAGAAAUCCUUGGCUCUAAUACAGUCGGGGGAUGACGGUACCGGAAGAAUAAGCACCGGCUAACUACGUGCCAGCAGCCGCGGUAAUACGUAGGGUGCAAGCGUUAAUCGGAAUUACUGGGCGUAAAGCGUGCGCAGGCGGUUUGCUAAGACCGAUGUGAAAUCCCCGGGCUC